CUUCUUAAGCAAUUCUCCCACCACAGCCUCUGUGCUGGGAUUACAGGUGUGAGCCACUGUACCCGCCUGGCCUCUCUUUGAAACCUGCCCAGUGACAGGGAUCUCAAUGCAGGGCAUUGCAUGUCUUCUGACAGGAUGCUGGUUUAGGUCACUCCCUCUGCCCUGCAAGCCAGCUGUGUCCCCAGCGUUUCCCCCGGCAGAGACAGAUCACUCCCUGUGAGAGUGUUUUGGUGGCAGCGUGGAAUGGCUUCCCUGUUUGGCCCCCUGGGAAUACUGGAACCUGGGAAGGGACCUCUGCAGCUAACCCAGGGCUGGGCAGUGAGUUACUGAAAGGAAAAGGAAUUUAUUUUUAAUUUCCUGGGUUUUCUUGGCUGUUGCUUUGGAGUGGAGAUCAUUUAGGCAUCUGGUACCCUGAUGACCUGAGAGGAGAAGGAAAGUCCGUGGAAAGGAGUUAGGUGACUUCUGGGCUCCACAUGGACCAAACCCAGCUGGCAGUCAGAGGCCAAGAGCAUCUUGAUGCACGGCAUACUGACCGAUUCCAGGGUGCAGUGCACGAUGGAAAAGGAGGAACGUACCUGAAGAGGCAAAUGAAAGAUAUCCAGCAUCACAGGCAACCUUGCUUCUAUUACCGAAAAUCUGCCCUGGAGGUCAAUUUGCCAUGACAAAGUUGCUCUGUAAGAAACUCCCAGGAUGCAUGCUCAGACUCAGGGGCCUGUGCAGGGAUGGGCCAGCCUGAAGCAGACGGGCUGCAGCCUCGCAGGGUCCCUUCUGCAGCAAGGAGAACAGCGUGACAGCUGGGUCGUCUUCGCAGGACCGAAUGUGCCCUGUUGCAGAUCAUGAGAACUGAAUGCAUCCCGACUGUGCUGCCCACCCACUGUGAGAACUGACUCGGAAUCGCUGCGCGCUGGUGUCCAGGGGAGUGCCACACUCACGCAACUGUGACUGCUCGGAAUCGCUGCCGCUGGUGUCCAGAGUGCCACACUCACGCAACUGUGGACUGCUCGGAAUCGCUGCCGCUGGUGGUCCACGGAGUGCCACACU
Molecule: long non-coding RNA, 1041 nt
Organism: Cercocebus atys (sooty mangabey)
Lineage: Eukaryota; Metazoa; Chordata; Mammalia; Primates; Cercopithecidae
Exons: 4
Source: RefSeq, a predicted model, not a curated record